This 92-nucleotide transfer RNA is filed under the name Laccaria amethystina LaAM-08-1. It matches the Rfam family "tRNA". Rfam says of the family: Transfer RNA (tRNA) molecules are approximately 80 nucleotides in length. Their secondary structure includes four short double-helical elements and three loops (D, anti-codon, and T loops). Further hydrogen bonds mediate the characteristic L-shaped molecular structure. tRNAs have two regions of fundamental functional importance: the anti-codon, which is responsible for specific mRNA codon recognition, and the 3' end, to which the tRNAs corresponding amino acid is attached (by aminoacyl-tRNA synthetases). tRNAs cope with the degeneracy of the genetic code in two manners: having more than one tRNA (with a specific anti-codon) for a particular amino acid; and 'wobble' base-pairing, i.e. permitting non-standard base-pairing at the 3rd anti-codon position. The record is from Rfam by way of RNAcentral. Lineage: Eukaryota; Fungi; Basidiomycota; Agaricomycetes; Agaricales; Hydnangiaceae.
GGCGCUAUAGCCAAGUGGUUACGGCGACAGAUUCGAAUAACUCUAGUAUCUGUUCCUCUUUGAGGGCGCAGGUUCAAAUCCUGCUGGCGUCG